UGCGGCGUGCCUAAUACAUGCAAGUCGAACGCACAGCGAAAGGUGCUUGCACCUUUCAAGUGAGUGGCGAACGGGUGAGUAACACGUGGACAACCUGCCUCAAGGCUGGGGAUAACAUUUGGAAACAGAUGCUAAUACCGAAUAAAACUUAGUGUCGCAUGACACAAAGUUAAAAGGCGCUUCGGCGUCACCUAGAGAUGGAUCCGCGGUGCAUUAGUUAGUUGGUGGGGUAAAGGCCUACCAAGACAAUGAUGCAUAGCCGAGUUGAGAGACUGAUCGGCCACAUUGGGACUGAGACACGGCCCAAACUCCUACGGGAGGCUGCAGUAGGGAAUCUUCCACAAUGGGCGAAAGCCUGAUGGAGCAACGCCGCGUGUGUGAUGAAGGCUUUCGGGUCGUAAAGCACUGUUGUAUGGGAAGAACAGCUAGAAUAGGAAAUGAUUUUAGUUUGACGGUACCAUACCAGAAAGGGACGGCUAAAUACGUGCCAGCAGCCGCGGUAAUACGUAUGUCCCGAGCGUUAUCCGGAUUUAUUGGGCGUAAAGCGAGCGCAGACGGUUUAUUAAGUCUGAUGUGAAAGCCCGGAGCUCAACUCCGGAAUGGCAUUGGAAACUGGUUAACUUGAGUGCAGUAGAGGUAAGUGGAACUCCAUGUGUAGCGGUGAAAUGGCGUAGAUA
This 677-nucleotide ribosomal RNA is filed under the name Leuconostoc mesenteroides. Its description in RNAcentral is "bacterial SSU rRNA". It matches the Rfam family "Bacterial small subunit ribosomal RNA", at positions 38 to 696 of the family's 1533-position model. The record is from RNAcentral. Lineage: Bacteria; Bacillati; Bacillota; Bacilli; Lactobacillales; Lactobacillaceae.